This 679-nucleotide ribosomal RNA is filed under the name Streptococcus mutans. RNAcentral's name for it is "bacterial SSU rRNA". It matches the Rfam family "Bacterial small subunit ribosomal RNA", at positions 378 to 1048 of the family's 1533-position model. The record is from RNAcentral. Lineage: Bacteria; Bacillati; Bacillota; Bacilli; Lactobacillales; Streptococcaceae.
AAAGUCUGACCGAGCAACGCCGCGUGAGUGAAGAAGGUUUUCGGAUCGUAAAGCUCUGUUGUAAGUCAAGAACGUGUGUGAGAGUGGAAAGUUCACACAGUGACGGUAGCUUACCAGAAAGGGACGGCUAACUACGUGCCAGCAGCCGCGGUAAUACGUAGGUCCCGAGCGUUGUCCGGAUUUAUUGGGCGUAAAGGGAGCGCAGGCGGUCAGGAAAGUCUGGAGUAAAAGGCUAUGGCUCAACCAUAGUGUGCUCUGGAAACUGUCUGACUUGAGUGCAGAAGGGGAGAGUGGAAUUCCAUGUGUAGCGGUGAAAUGCGUAGAUAUAUGGAGGAACACCGGUGGCGAAGGCGGCUCUCUGGUCUGUCACUGACGCUGAGGCUCGAAAGCGUGGGUAGCGAACAGGAUUAGAUACCCUGGUAGUCCACGCCGUAAACGAUGAGUGCUAGGUGUUAGGCCCUUUCCGGGGCUUAGUGCCGGAGCUAACGCAAUAAGCACUCCGCCUGGGGAGUACGACCGCAAGGUUGAAACUCAAAGGAAUUGACGGGGGCCCGCACAAGCGGUGGAGCAUGUGGUUUAAUUCGAAGCAACGCGAAGAACCUUACCAGGUCUUGACAUCCCGAUGCUAUUCUUAGAGAUAGGAAGUUACUUCGGUACAUCGGAGACAGGUGGUGCAUGG